UUUUUUUAACCAUGAAAGAAAAGGAAUAUUAGGAAAAUUAUUUAAGUGUAUUUGAAUUGUUUGAACUGAUAACAUGGUUGGUAAAGUUAUCAUUGUGUAUUAAUUAAUUUAUUAUCUAAUUUUGUAUUUAUUUAUGAUGCUUGAUAGACAUUAAUUACAAUAUUUAUAUUAUAAUCUGGUACGAGGCAUUAUACAUUACAAAAAAAAACCCAAAAAAACAGCAUAGUUGUUCUUUGAUUACCGUACGACUAUUAUUCUUUCAAAUUAUAGCUGUCUUACCUGAAUAAUGAUGUAGAUCAAAGAUAAUUACAAUCUUUUUCGAUAUUGAUUGAAAAAAACCGUUAUCCGGAAACACAUGGAAACUGAUAGAAGUCAUCCCAAACUCGGAUGAACUAUGAAAAUUUUCCGAAAAUAAGACUAGAUAAUAUAAAUACUUUAAUAUAAUUAGAAUAGCAUUAUUUAUCUAUAUUGAUGUAAUAUUUAUAAUAUUUUGUAAACGACUAACAAUAUGCAGUUUAUCUACCUGAAGAAUCCCUGAACUUCUGGUACUAAUGAAACAGGGACCUUCACUGAGAUAGCUGUGUCAGUGGAGUAAUUGUUAACAGCGAGC
This 610-nucleotide long non-coding RNA is filed under the name Mytilus galloprovincialis (Mediterranean mussel). The record is from RNAcentral. Lineage: Eukaryota; Metazoa; Mollusca; Bivalvia; Mytilida; Mytilidae.